GCCGCCGCGGUAAUACCAGCUCUUCGAGUGGUGUGGAUGUUAUUGGGCCUAAAGCAUCCGUAGCUGGCUAAGUUAGUCCUUGUUAAAUCCACCGAAUUAAUCGUUGGAUUGCGGGGGAUACUGCUUGGCUAGGGGACGAGAGAGGCAGACGGUAUUUUCGGGGUAGGGGUGAAAUCCUAUAAUCCCGGGAAGACCACCAGUGGCGAAGGCCGUCUGCUAGAACGCGCCCGACGGUGAGGGAUGAAAGCUGGGGGAGCGAACCGGAUUAGAUACCCGGGUAGUCCCAGCUGUAAACGAUGCAGGCUAGGUGUUUGGACGGCCACGUGCCGUUCUAGUGCCGCAGGGAAGCUGUUAAGCCUGCCGCCUGGGGAGUACGAUCGCAAGAUUGAAACUUAAAGGAAUUGGCGGGGGAGCACCACAAGGGGUGAAGCUUGCGGUUUAAUUGGAGUCAACGCCGGAAAUCUCACCGGGAGCGACAGCAGUGUGAAGGCCAGAUUAAAGGUCUUGCCAGACGAGCUGAGGGGAGGUGCAUGG
RNAcentral lists this ribosomal RNA (534 nucleotides) under uncultured archaeon. RNAcentral describes it as "bacterial SSU rRNA". It matches the Rfam family "Archaeal small subunit ribosomal RNA", at positions 461 to 997 of the family's 1478-position model. The record is from RNAcentral.